Apodemus sylvaticus (European woodmouse) is the source of this 139-nucleotide small nucleolar RNA. RefSeq annotates it as small nucleolar RNA SNORA48. The transcript has a single exon. NCBI's taxonomy places the organism in Eukaryota, Metazoa, Chordata, Mammalia, Rodentia, Muridae. The record is from RefSeq and is a predicted model, not a curated record.
UGAUCUGACAGUGGGCAAAGAGACACCUUGAUGGUGAUGUUCUUAUAUCAGUCGGAGCAGAGCAGACAGCAGUCCGGUGUUUGUCCUACCUUGAUGCCUGGCUUGGUGGCCAAAGCUGUUUUAUGCCUAGGACUCAUAA